RNAcentral lists this long non-coding RNA (3758 nucleotides) under Sorghum bicolor (sorghum). RNAcentral describes it as "long non-coding RNA (SBIC_LNC006626)". Lineage: Eukaryota; Viridiplantae; Streptophyta; Magnoliopsida; Poales; Poaceae. The record is from RNAcentral.
AUUGAAGAACCUGGAGAGCGACGAAGAACGAACCAGUUGCUGCAAAAGUACAAUGUUGAGGAAGAUCCGACAGAUCCGGCUCCUCCUCCGCUCUCCUCUUCUCUCUCCCUAUUUCUAGAUUACAACUAGAACUAACUAGAACUAGAACUAGAGGAACUAGAACUAGAACUAGAUGAACUAGAACUAGAUCUAGAUGAACUAGAGGUAAAACUAGAAGAACUAGAGGGAUCCUCUCUACUUGGAUGAAGAAUUGAAACCCUAGCUUUGAUUCUGUAUAAGAGGUAUGAUCUCCAGGGGCUAGGGUCUGGUUUUAUAGUCCCUUCAAGUGAAUAUGGGUCGUUGGAUCAAACCGACAUUGAUUGGACGGUUAUCCUUGAUCCUUUAGGUUGGUGGAGCAAUAUCCCAAAAGAGAGUCCUGUUUGGAGUCUAGGAGGGGGCGAGCGCCCAAGUCAACUGGGCGGGCGCCUAGUGCCUGGCCCCGUUCGGCCUCCGCUUCCUUCCCGUGGCUUCUGGAGUCUUCUAGAUGGUAGAAAAUUGCGUGGCACACUAAUAUCUCUAUGUAAACCCGACAUGUUGGCCUUUCUUCCGUAUUUCCUGAUAACCCCCUGCAGAAAUAGACAAACACCAAAACUCGUGGAAUUCUGUCAGAUAAAACCCUAAGUCUAGGUGUUGGUUCCAUUUAGAUCAUUUUGCAUGAUUAGUUGACAGUUAAAUGUGAACAUUAAGGACCGUCAACAAGCUCCCCCAAGCUUAACCUUUGCUCGUCCCUGAGCAAAGAUGAACUCAAGAGUUUCUGCAGUGGUUUCAUGCCUUGAAGAUACACAUGCGUUCAAACAAGAUCUCAUCUCUAGGUUAGGGUAAACUGUUAAGAUUUAAACUUACUCAUUUUACCUUCCACCAUGGGGCUUGUAACCAUCACUUGUGCCUUGAGCAGUUAAAAGAUAGAACGGUCUAGUCAAACACCAUGUCUCUUGUUCUUCGAUUAACUAUAGCUCUGGAGUUUUUGCAGAUUUUCAAAUAAAACUCAGAGAUUCCUUGUAUGACUCUCUCUAGUCUCUCUUUUGUGGUAUUUCUAGAUCCUUACCAAGGCAGUAAUGGUGUAGGCCUUCUCUCAAAGUAUGUGGUAUUUUUGGUAUGAGGUAUAGUGGCAUUGCCUUCUUUCUCACCCUACUCUAAUAAGGUUUUGAUAUCUGGAGCUCAUAGGUGGGAGACAGCUAAUACAUACUUAGAAGACAUUUAUUGCAUAGUCAAACCAUGGAUCCAAAGAAACAAGUCAAUAAGUCAAAUCAAGAUGUGCAUGUGUGGCGAAUAAAUGGUGAUAAUGGUGAAAGUCUAAUUCUACUUUUGCUCUUUUGAGGGGAUAUAUACCUUUCUUGCUCUUUUGAAACUUUUUGAGGAGAAUGAGAUGCUCUAUAUUUUCCUUUUUUUUCUUUUCUCUUAGGUGGGUAUCUUGUACCCCUAAUUCUACUGUCGGCACUUGUCCAUUUUUACCUCUCGUCUCACUUUUUCUUUUCUUCGAGGUUCCGGACACUUGCCCCUUUUUAUUUCCUCGUAUUCACUUUUUUUUUCAGAGCACUCAUCCUCCUAGAAUAAUGUAGCAAGUGGUAGUAACCAAAAUAUCUUGAGCAUUUAUUUCACAGGGAAAAACAGGAAUAGGAGAAUGUUUUUGGCUAUUCUCUCCCGGAUUAGGAGUAGAAUAUUUUUGGAUGGUUCUGGAGAUGGAAAUGAGUGGAUGUAUGUGGAUGCGUACUUCCAGAGUAGAAGCAGCAUGUAUGAGUGAACGUGCAAGUGAAUCUUGAUUUAACCACAUGACAAGCUCCUAAGGUUCUACACAGCUUGACCACACUCAAUGCUCAUAAGUAGUAAAAAGUAAAUGUGUGGCUCAAAGUCUAGCAAGCAUGUAUAUAUGGCUGUGGUAGGAAUUUAAACUCUCAUCAUACAGGAACUCAUCAUGUGUUAUUUUAAAGAUUUUCAAAGAUAAAAUUCUCCAGAAUUCUAGCAUCUCUAGGAAGAGAUAAACAAUAGCUCAACCUUCCCACAUCGUAUCCGUUAACGACUUAGACUUCAGAUGAAGUACUCUUCCCACAAGUUCAGGUUUAGAGCAAAUCUUAAUUAAUAACAGUUAUGCCUAAACUUGAGAGAAAGCUUAAACUUGAAAACUAGGUACAUGGCAGAGCAACUAUUCAUCAUUUCCAUGUGAGAGCUUAUCUUGAGGGUUCAUAGCAAACUUUACUUAUUUAUUUAUUAAGCAAACUAAGCAAAUAUAUAUAAGCACAAAAUCUUUAUUUGGGUUUUUAUGAUUAUGCAUAUUUUUAUUAUUUGAGUAAAGUAUAAAGAUGAGUAGAACACUUAGCUGGAUAAAUGGGAGUGCUCUCCCCCAAGCUGGAUUUUGACGUAAUUCCUUGUGAUGCAGAUAGCAGGUGGUGGAGAUGUAUUUGAAUGUUGGCAGCACCGUGACAGCGAUUAGGAUGUCCUCCGUCUGCUAGUCUUCUUUGAUCCUUGAAUUCUGUGGAGCUCAAAUAGACAACAAAGUUUUGUGGAACUAGUUAAGUGUUAGCAUAAAUAUCUAGCCUUUAUCAUGUUGAGGCUCCUCAAUAAAUGUUACUCAUUAGCGGGAUCAUAAUUUUAUUUUUAUAAUUUUAUUUUUAUAGGACAGGAAUAUAUUUAUUUCAUUUUUAUGCCACCACAGUGAAUGUACUUAUGGGUUUUAUGCCAUGAGCAUACUCACAUGGGGCUUACUAUUUUUUAACAUUUUUAUUUUCUUUUCAAGAUGAUAUGAACCUGAUUAACUAAGCAAACUAUUUUAAAAUAAUUGAAAGGAAAAAGAUAACUACCAAGUUUACCUCUUGGAAAGGCGUUCGGUGUUUUUUAAGUCCUCUGAACGAGACUUUCUGUUUUCUCAGUCGUCCUGGGAUUCGCUGGAUGGCGUAGUCGGUGGUUCCGGCGGCGCCUCCUCUUCGUGUAUAGUUAUCUUCUCUCUACACACCUGACUCGGUGCUAUGGUCUCCUCAGGAUAGUUCUGUUCAAGCUGUAUGUCUUCAGACCUUACAACUUCUGCAUCAUAAUCUACCCAUCCGUCCUUGAUGAUUUUGCCUUCUCUGGUUGCGGUUGCGUCGUCUCCUUCUUGUCCUGACCUGCUUAGAGUCUUCAACUAUAUAGUUAGGGUCAGUAAAACAGUGGCGUACCUUCUUAGAUUUGAAGUGCAUGUAGACUUCUCUAGUUCCAAAUGUAGAUGAUUGCUUUAACGGUGCUGAGGAACGGUCUCCUAAGAAUGAUGAGUGGAUCGUACUUGUCUUCAACCUUUCGGAAUGUCUAAUCUGCCAUCUGGAGCUGAAUGUAUGUCAGUUUUAGGGGCAUGGUUCCAUGCAGGAGCUGAUAAGUGACUGCGGUCAUUAUGUUGACGUCAGAUUCGGCGUCGUAGAGUGUCUUCUGAAAAGAAUAUGCGUUGAUUGUGCAUUCGAUGCUUGGAACACCAGGAUCGUCCUUCUUGAUCAAGAAACGGUGACUUAAAUCGACAAUCUUGACCUCCUUGAACUGCAGUGACCAUCUUAGUUGACUUGGUCCACAUUUGCUUGUUCCUGUCCCUCCUGUUGGUCCUCUUCCUUGGUUCAUGUCGGGAAUGCUCUGAGAUUUGUGUAGUCUUGUUCUUGAAGAAAAACAUCUCCUUUCUUCCCUUGAUGUAAAAACUGAUCUUGGCAGUACUAGCGUAGAUGAAAGCUCCUGAGGUGUUCAGGAAUGGCCUCCCUAAGAUGAUGGGU